Molecule: ribosomal RNA, 468 nt
Filed under: uncultured bacterium
Lineage: Bacteria
Description: partial 16S ribosomal RNA
Rfam family: Bacterial small subunit ribosomal RNA
Source: RNAcentral
GACGAACGCCGGCGGCGUGCUUAACACAUGCAAGUCGAACGGAAAGGCCCUGCUUUUGUGGGGUGCUCGAGUGGCGAACGGGUGAGUAACACGUGAGUAACCUGCCCUUGACUUUGGGAUAACUUCAGGAAACUGGGGCUAAUACCGGAUAGGAGCUCCUGCUGCAUGGUGGGGGUUGGAAAGUUUCGGCGGUUGGGGAUGGACUCGCGGCUUAUCAGCUUGUUGGUGGGGUAGUGGCUUACCAAGGCUUUGACGGGUAGCCGGCCUGAGAGGGUGACCGGCCACAUUGGGACUGAGAUACGGCCCAGACUCCUACGGGAGGCAGCAGUGGGGAAUAUUGCACAAUGGGCGGAAGCCAGAUGCAGCAACGCCGCGUGCGGGAUGACGGCCUUCGGGUUGUAAACCGCUUUCGCCUGUGACGAAGCGUGAGUGACGGUAAUGGGUAAAGAAGCACCGGCUAACUACGUG